This 2972-nucleotide long non-coding RNA is filed under the name Mus musculus (house mouse). Its description in RNAcentral is "predicted gene, 26748". Lineage: Eukaryota; Metazoa; Chordata; Mammalia; Rodentia; Muridae. The record is from RNAcentral.
AAGAAGAGCCCACAAUUGCUUUCCAAAGCCCCACACGUGGCCCGGACCCAAGUUAUUUCACAGGGUUGCAACCAAGGGCAUGGACAUCCUGGGUCAAUUCUACUGCUCGGCUACCCCCUAAACCUCUUUGGAAGGGUUUAAUGGCUUUAAUACUUGAUAGAAGAAAUGAAAACUCUUCAACAGAACUUCUUUGGACCCCACAGAUGCAAGAUCUUUGGAUAUAGAGACUGAUAUGACACACCUCCUCCCCCACAGCUGGCUUUCAGAAUUCAGAAGAGCUGGGGAAAGCAUCCUUGAUUUUGGACUUCUAACAUCCAGAGCUACAAGAAAAUAACCUCUGAUGUGCGAUGCCACCUAGUUCUGCUCACUUCUCCUAGAACCUCUGGGAAACUAAAAGGAAGGGUGGGGCUGGAGGGUUGCAAUUCAGCUUUCUGCUGCCUCUGCCUGGAACUCAAGCCUGACUGUGCCACAGUGACGGAAACGGGUCACGUGACAGUUCACCUUGCUAAAGACAGCAGUGCAAAUGUAGUUGCUGCUAAGACCAGAAAUCUGGUAAGCAGUGCUACAGGAAAGGAGCCACUGUACUUUGGCCAACCUUAGUAAUUCUUACUCCAAAGGAUAAUGUGUGUCUGUAUUUGUUUGUUUAGUCCUUCAAGUGAUACAUGGUGAAAGAGUACAAAUGUGCAAGCUGAGAGUGCUUUGUUUUAACUAAUAGACCAUCAUUCAUUCACUCAUUCAGCAGGUACUUACUAAGCACAAGCUAUGUACCAAGAAUUGAACAAAGCACUCGAUUUUGGCUGACCAAAUCACUAGGAAUGUGGAGAAGAGCAUGAUGGAGGACUGAGAGAAGUCACCAUCCAUCUCCUGAAGGCAGAGCACUGCAGAAUCCUUGUGGGCAGUCAAGAGAAAGAAGGGCAGGAACUAUUGGGAGUGGGGAGGAAGGAGGAACCUCACUGUGGUAACUGGCUCGCAGGAGGGACUCUGGUGCUUACAUGGGAUUGGACAAAGGCAGGCAGGGCGAGGGGGAGCAGCUGAGCUAAAGAAAGAAAUGGCCAACCAGUGGCUUCUUGUUGGACUUUAAAAUUUUUUCAUUUCAUAGAAUGUAGCCACAAUGACUAGGAUUUAGUAGAAACUGGGAAAACGUUGACACAUUGCUUUUUGUUGUCUAUCUAUCUGUCUUAGUCAGGGUUUCUAUUCUUGUACAAACAUGAUGACCAAGAAGCAAGUUGGGGAGGAAAGGGUUUAUUCGGCUUACACUUCCAUACUGCUCUUCAUCACCAAAGGAAGUCAGGACUGGAACUCAAGCAGGUCAGGAAGCAGAAGCUAAUGCAGAGGCCAUGGAGGGAUGUUACUUACUGUCUUCCUUCCCCUGGCUUGCUCAGCCUGCUCUCUUAUAGAACCCAAGACUACCAGCCCAGAGAUGGUCCCACCCACAAGGGGCCUUUCCCUCUUGAUCACUAAUUGAGAAAAUGCCUUACAGUUGUAUCUCAUGGAGGCAUUUCCCCAACUGAAGCUCCCCUCUCUGUGAUAACUCCAGCUGUGUCAAGUUGACACAAAACUAGCCAGUAUUCUAUCUAUCUAUCUAUCUAUCUAUCUAUCUAUCUAUCUAUCUAUCUAUCUAUUAUUUAUUUUUUAUGUUCUAUCUAGCCAUGCCUGUUUCUGUAUUGCCCGUGUCUGCUUUUUACUGAGUACUUGUGAGACCACAUGAUUGGAAAAGCCAAAAAAUAUCUUCUAUCUGCUAGUGUAGAGAAAGCUUGCUGAUUCCUCGUUGUGUGUGUGUGUGUGUGCGCAUUCGUGGGCACACACUGCGUCUUUGCAUGUGGAGGCCAGGGGACAGCCCCAGCUGACAUUCUUCAAGAGCCUUCUACCUUCUUUUCUGAGAUAGGGUCUUUCACUAGGCCUGGGACUCACCGGGUAAGCUAGGUUGGCUGGCCAGCGAGCCCCAGAGAUCUGCCUGUCUCUGCCUGAGAUGAUAUGUGUAUACUAUACCAUCGCUGGUCCAGCUUAUUUUGCACGGGUUCUUGUGAACAAACACAGUGGAUGAUGUGUGUAUACCACCCAUCAGUCUGGCUUGCUUCACAUUGGGUCCUAGUGAGCAAAUUAGUUUGUUGUGCUUAUGACUGGGCUAUUUUCCAGCUCUGUUGUUUCUAGAUUCAUGUGUUUAAAAAAAAAAAAAGAGCCUAGAGUCUCUGUACUGUCUCAUACUGCAGUUUUACAAACUCUUACUGAUCUUGCCUCCACUGUCUUUGCUUGAACUUCCUGUGAGAUGUACUGCGCAGACUCCAACUCACUGAUGUAAUCCACAUUCUUUUGGACUUUCGGAUAUUGCCCAAAGUUCUGGCUUACUGAUUGCUAUUUUGCAUAUUAACCUUACUAUAACUGAUUCCAAUGAUCCAGCACACAGUAGAUGCUUCAUCAAGAGUGAUGAGGUUAUCAAAGAAAGAUCAAGAAACACAGGCCUUGCUCUCCAUCUUGCACGGAAAGUGUCAGGCAUUUUCUCAGCCACAGAAGAGGAAACUGUUCCAGACGCUUCCUCACAUGGCUCUGUUGUUAAGAGUGACUCUGGCUUUGCUGAAACCUUACUUUGCAUGCGUCUUUUUCUUAUGGCUUAUUAUGGUAACACAAUAGGUGGGCCCGGUAAUUUCAUUACUGGGUUUUAUUUGCCUUUGUGUAAAUGACUUUUCAUUUAGAUUUGUUCCAAAAAAAAAGUCAAAUGAAAUAAGAUGGAUAUUCUCCUUUCUACUUUGCCUUCAUCCUUUAUUGAGGCACUGUUCCACGUGGCUCUUCUUGUUAAACCUAUAAUAUCAUCUGUGCUAUCAUUCUAAAAUAAUAACCGUAUUUUAAAUGUGACAUGAAAAAGGAAUGGCUUUUAUAAUUCUAAAUAAGAUGUCUAUUUUAAUCUAGUUCAAUGCUGAUGAUUUUCUCUUUAUUUAAAAAAAAAUAAUAAAUCACCAGGAUUCAAUGUGAACGCC